This is a long non-coding RNA of Herpailurus yagouaroundi (jaguarundi), 789 nucleotides long. RefSeq lists it as uncharacterized. The transcript has 3 exons. The record is from RefSeq and is a predicted model, not a curated record. NCBI's taxonomy places the organism in Eukaryota, Metazoa, Chordata, Mammalia, Carnivora, Felidae.
GCGCGCUCUCUGGCAGGGAGGCGCGCGAGGGGUGCCUGCGGCGGCCGCGUGCUCCCGCGAGGGGGCGUGUCCUUCCGCGGCCAGCUGGGUCCCCGAGGGUCCAGAUCCACGCGCGGGCUGGAGAGCGCGCACGGCUGUGAAGAGGGAUGGAGAUGGAGCCUCAUGACAAAAAUGAAAGUGAACAUGAUGUGGGAAAUAUAAAGAAGAGAUCCCCAAGAUAAGGAUUCUGGAGCAGAAAGAGCACUUCCAAUGAACAACCUAUUCAUCCAAAAGCCAAGACUACUUACUGGAAAUUUCAGGUGACCCAAGGCCUCCCAUUUUUUCCCUCCCAUUUUUAUUAACAUAAGACAUGCUAUAAAGUAUAAGUAACAGUAUCUGUUGCUUUCUGUUUUCACAAUUAUUAGUAAUAGUUAAUUCCCCAACAUCCUUAUGGUAGAAAGAUAAUCAUUUCUGGUUACCACAUCGAGAAGGAAACAGUGACUAAUGUGACUCAGCACAGUGAAAGACUCGAGAUUUGAAAACAGAGGCCUUAGCUCUUAGCAAUGCUGUACUGAGAUUACAUGGAGAACACAACCAACUUGCAUAAAUGGCAGACUGACAAUUCCUUAUCUGUGAGUGCUAAGUCCAGGCUAUAAUGUUUUCUGACUAUGUAUAUAAAGACAACUUACUAUUUAACUUAAAUGAAAUUCAUAUGUGAAUGUAUCUAAUAUAGUCAAAGUGAAAGAAAAGUCGAACUUCUUAUCUAGACAAAAGAAUUACUGUUGUUUUUAAACAUACACUCUAUUAAUG